Onthophagus taurus is the source of this 195-nucleotide non-coding RNA. The record is from RefSeq and is a predicted model, not a curated record. NCBI's taxonomy places the organism in Eukaryota, Metazoa, Arthropoda, Insecta, Coleoptera, Scarabaeidae.
UGUAAAUUUCUUCUACAAGGUACAUUCAAAUUUGGUAAUUCUUGUAGAUUUGAUCAUCAAUUAGGGGGACACAACAAUAAUCAAAAUGUAGCUCGGGCAAUAACAAUGGAUCCAAAUGCCUUAAUACAAACCUUAUUGAAUAACUUUUAUACUGUUAUUUAUAAUUAAAAGUUAAUAAAAUUAGUUUUAUAAGAA